AGUGAACGCUGGCGGUAGGCCUAUCACAUGCAAGUCGAACGGCAGCACAGUAAGAGCUUGCUCUUACGGGUGGCGAGUGGCGGACGGGUGAGGAAUACAUCGGAAUCUACUUUUUCGUGGGGGAUAACGUAGGGAAACUUACGCUAAUACCGCAUACGACCUACGGGUGAAAGCAGGGGAUCUUCGGACCUUGCGCGAUUGAAUGAGCCGAUGUCGGAUUAGCUAGUUGGCGGGGUAAAGGCCCACCAAGGCGACGAUCCGUAGCUGGUCUGAGAGGAUGAUCAGCCACACUGGAACUGAGACACGGUCCAGACUCCUACGGGAGGCAGCAGUGGGGAAUAUUGGACAAUGGGCGCAAGCCUGAUCCAGCCAUACCGCGUGGGUGAAGAAGGCCUUCGGGUUGUAAAGCCCUUUUGUUGGGAAAGAAAAGCAGCAGGUUAAUACCCCGCUGUCCUGACGGUACCCAAAGAAUAAGCACCGGCUAACUUCGUG
This 492-nucleotide ribosomal RNA is filed under the name uncultured bacterium. Its description in RNAcentral is "partial 16S ribosomal RNA". It matches the Rfam family "Bacterial small subunit ribosomal RNA", at positions 29 to 507 of the family's 1533-position model. The record is from RNAcentral.